GGCCGCAUGGCCCAAUUGGCAAGGCGCUUGACUACGAUUCCAAGUCUUGGCAUCAAGAGAUUCUGGGUUCGAAUCCCAGUGUGGUCA
This is a non-coding RNA of Ascosphaera atra, 87 nucleotides long. Lineage: Eukaryota; Fungi; Ascomycota; Eurotiomycetes; Onygenales; Ascosphaeraceae. The record is from the annotation of a GenBank genome assembly.